GUGGCUCUUAAGGAAAACACGGUGGGGGGGGGAACCUGAGGGGCUAGGAUGAUCUUAGAACAGACCAGCAAGCAAAGGGGCCAGUUUGAGCACCGCUGCUCUUUAGUCAUAUACACAAUUCUCCCACAAGGUCCCAUAGGACAGGAAUGGAGGCUGGGGUCCAGCCUGGGAAAAGCUAUGGUGACAUGCAGCAGCAGCAAGGAGCAAACUCUCAAGCCAGGUGAAGCCUAGUGCCUAUACUAAGUAGACCCCAUGGCCCCCCACAGAACAGGGGCUUCCAAGACAAUGAGGUGAUAGUGCAAACACCCAUCUCCCUAGACCUCCCAGCCCAGGGAUCCACUCUAUCAUGUGGCAAUAAGGGCUUUCACCUGGACUCUGCAGGGGACAGAAGCUCAGAGUGCAAUUAUACCUCUGACUUAGCUCAGGCAAGCACCCGGCUACACCAGUGGUUUGUCAGCCUGGACCAGUCUUCCGCUCUGGUGAGAAGCUGGCAGAAAAGGGGGUUGAAUGUAGGCUGCUCCAUGGCUGUCAUGAGCCCAACUCUCCCAGGCAGGUCAAUCAUCAGCCCAGGUGGGAGCUCUGAGAUCCCCCUCACACAGACAAGGAUGGAACUACACAGUGGCAUCCGUGUUCAGCUUCUAAGGCAACACAGCCACACAGCUCAGCUUGUAACAGAGCAGAGGGAUAUGGUCCUUCAGGCCACACCCUGCUGUGCCAGGCGCUCCUGGUUCCAUUUGUUGGGAACCGGAGCUAAAUCUGCUGCCCCGCUACUUGACAUGCUAAAGCAGCGGGGGACGACUUUUUUGGCAGGCACAUCACAAAUUAGCCCUGCACCCUCCCCGAGUGUCAGUGUGGUUCCUUGCCCGAUCUGCUGCUCUGCUUCCUACUCCAAUACCACGUACCACACACAGACUGCCUGUGUCACUUGUGGCACCGGUGUCAUGGACUGGCCAACCCUGGGCUAAAGAAUCCUGGUAGAGGGUGUUCCUGCUAGUUAAUGACCCCAAAGUGAGGUGCCCAGCUGCCCACUGGCAGGGGCUGUG
This is a long non-coding RNA of Gavialis gangeticus (Gharial), 1043 nucleotides long. RefSeq lists it as uncharacterized. The transcript has 3 exons. Lineage: Eukaryota; Metazoa; Chordata; Crocodylia; Gavialidae. The record is from RefSeq and is a predicted model, not a curated record.